GUUAAAACAGAUAUCAAACUGCGUAGCUAACAGAUAACAUACAUUUAUUUACUCACAUAUAUUCUGGUUAAUUAUCAGUUUACAUAUUAAAGAAAUGGGGACAGCAGAACUACAACUUUGCAGUCUCAACUUACAAACGAUAUAAAACAUCCUUCAUCAUUGUAUAGUACAACAUACAUACAAAUGAAUAUUCGACAAUGUGUUAUAACCAACUCAUAGUUAAAAACAACUUUAGUUAUGUUGAACUUCCUUGGCUGUGUUGAAUAAAGAAUUCGCAGUUGCGACUUUUAUGUAAACAAGUCAUUAAACUCAGUUUCAGAAGCAAUUGAAGGGCUUGUUAUAUAUAUUAUGUGACAUAAAGGUUUUUUGAAUCCGGUAGAAUGAAUAGAUUGAAUAAAUACAGUGAACAUUUGAACAAGUGAUUUAGAUCUAUUUAUGUUUAAAGUGCUUCGCUGAUCAAUAAGAUGAGCGACAAGCGAAAAAAUGAGAUAUGCUGAAUUACUUCA
This is a non-coding RNA of Schizosaccharomyces pombe (fission yeast), 506 nucleotides long. The record is from the annotation of a GenBank genome assembly. NCBI's taxonomy places the organism in Eukaryota, Fungi, Ascomycota, Schizosaccharomycetes, Schizosaccharomycetales, Schizosaccharomycetaceae.